This 405-nucleotide ribosomal RNA is filed under the name uncultured bacterium. RNAcentral describes it as "partial 16S ribosomal RNA". It matches the Rfam family "Bacterial small subunit ribosomal RNA", at positions 30 to 526 of the family's 1533-position model. The record is from RNAcentral.
AUUGAACGCUAGCGGGAUGCUUUACACAUGCAAGUCGAACGAGUGGCGGACGGGUGAGUAAUAUAUCGGAACGUGCCCAGUAGCGGGGGAUAACUACUCGAAAGCGUGGCUAAUACCGCAUACUAUUGGAGCGGCCUUUAUCGGAUUAGUUAGUUGGGUGGGUAAAGGCUCACCAAGGCAACGAUCCGUAGCCGGUUUGAGAGGACGACCAGCCACACUGGGACUGAGACACGGCCCCGACUCCUAAGGGAGGCAGCAGUGGGGAAUUUUGGACAAUGGGGGAAACCCUGCUCCAGCCAUCCCGCGUGUAUGAGAAGGCCUUCGGGUUGUAAAGCACUUUAAGUUGGGAGGCGGUACCAAAAGAAUAAGCACCGGCUAACUUCGUGCCAGCAGCCGCGGUAAUAC